AGAGUUUGAUCAUGGCUCAGAACGAACGCUGGCGGCGUGGCUAAGACAUGCAAGUCGAACGGUCCAGUAUUUAUUUGUUUACAAAUUCUGCUGGAUAGUGGCGAAAGGGUGAGUAAUGGGUAGGUAACGUACCCCGUGCUUCGGGAUAGCGUCUGUUCACCUUCGGGUGAACUUCCGAAAGGGGCAGUAAUACCGAAUGAUAUCAGAAGUCGAUAGGCUUCUGAUCAAAGAUUUAUCGGCACAGGAGCGGCCUACCUCCUAUCAGCUUGUUGGUGAGGUAAUGGCUCACCAAGGCUACGACGGGUAGCGGGACUGAGAGGUUGACCCGCCACAUCGGGACUGAGACACUGCCCGGACCUCCACGGAGGGCUGCAGUAACGAAUCUUGCGCAAUGGGCGAGAGCCUGACGCAGCGACGCCGCGUGCGGGAGGAAGUCUCUCGGGAUGUAAACCGCUGUCAGGGGGAAGAAAGUCCACUCCGGUGGAUUGAUCUAACCCACAGGAAGUCACGGCUAACUUCGUGCCAGCAGCCGCGGUAAGACGAAGGUGGCAAGCGUUGUUCGGUAUUACUGGGCUUAAAGCGUGUGUAGGCGGAAAAGUAAGCGCCUUGUGAAAUCCCCCGGCUCAACCGGGGAAUUGCUCGACGAACUGCUUUUCUUGAGGCAAGUAGGGGUGCAUGGAACUCUUGGUGGAGCGGUGGAAUGCGUAGAUAUCAAGAGGAACGCCGGUGGAGAAAUCGGUGCACUGGGCUUGUUCUGACGCUGAGACACGAAAGCGUGGGUAGCGAACGGGAUUAGAUACCCCGGUAGUCCACGCCGUAAACGAUGCCUACUAGGUCGUGGUGGUUCUGACACCAGCACGGCCGAAGCAAAAGUGUUAAGUAGGCCGCCUGGGGAGUACGGUCGCAAGGCUA
RNAcentral lists this ribosomal RNA (912 nucleotides) under uncultured bacterium. RNAcentral's name for it is "bacterial SSU rRNA". It matches the Rfam family "Bacterial small subunit ribosomal RNA", at positions 8 to 896 of the family's 1533-position model. The record is from RNAcentral.